GAUAAACGCUAGCGGGAGGCCUAACGCAUGCAAGCCGAGCGGUAUUUGUUCUUCGGAACAGAGAGAGCGGCGCACGGGUGCGGAACACGUGUGCAACCUGCCUUUAUCUGGGGGAUAGCCUUUCGAAAGGAAGAUUAAUACCCCAUAAUAUAUUGAGUGGCAUCACUUGAUAUUGAAAACUCCGGUGGAUAGAGAUGGGCACGCGCAAGAUUAGAUAGUUGGUGAGGUAACGGCUCACCAAGUCAAUGAUCUUUAGGGGGCCUGAGAGGGUGAUCCCCCACACUGGUACUGAGACACGGACCAGACUCCUACGGGAGGCAGCAGUGAGGAAUAUUGGACAAUGGGUUAGCGCCUGAUCCAGCCAUCCCGCGUGAAGGACGACGGCCCUAUGGGUUGUAAACUUCUUUUGUAUAGGGAUAAACCUACUCUCGUGAGAGUAGCUGAAGGUACUAUACGAAUAAGCACCGGCUAACUCCGUG
Molecule: ribosomal RNA, 479 nt
Filed under: uncultured bacterium
Lineage: Bacteria
Description: partial 16S ribosomal RNA
Rfam family: Bacterial small subunit ribosomal RNA
Source: RNAcentral